This 87-nucleotide small RNA is filed under the name Flavobacterium noncentrifugens. Its description in RNAcentral is "Flavo-1 RNA". It matches the Rfam family "Flavo-1 RNA". The record is from Rfam by way of RNAcentral. Lineage: Bacteria; Pseudomonadati; Bacteroidota; Flavobacteriia; Flavobacteriales; Flavobacteriaceae.
UUUGCGUUAAGGAUGAAAGUGGAAAUCCUUUUUAUAAUGCAGCGCAGCGGAAUUACAAAAAGAUUGCAGCGAACAGCCUGGCCGAAG